This 461-nucleotide ribosomal RNA is filed under the name uncultured bacterium. RNAcentral describes it as "bacterial SSU rRNA". It matches the Rfam family "Bacterial small subunit ribosomal RNA", at positions 12 to 455 of the family's 1533-position model. The record is from RNAcentral.
UUUGAUCCUGGCUCAGAACGAACGCUGGCGGCGCGCCUAACACAUGCCAGUCGAGCGAGAACGGUGCCUUCGGGUGCUUAAUAAACCGGCGCACGGGUGAGUAACACGUGGGUAAUCUGCCCUUGAGUGGGGGAUAACUGUCCGAAAGGACAGCUAAUACCGCAUAAGACCACAGGAUCCCAGGGUCCAGAGGUCAAAGGGGGUCAUCUUCGGAUGGCACCCGCUCAUGGAUGAGCCCGCGGUCCAUUAGAUUGUUGGUGGGGUAAUGGCCUACCAAGUCGGCGAUGGAUACCUGGUCUGAGAGGAUGAUCACCCACACUGGAACUGAGACACGGUCCCGACUCCUACAGGAGGCCGUAGUGGGGAAUUUUGCGCAAUGCGCGAAAGCCUGAACCAACGACGCCACGUGGGUGACAAAAGCCUUCGGGUCGUACAGCCCUGUCAAGGGGGACAAACGGGGA